UCUCGCUUGCUCGUGAGAUGAAAACUUUCUGGCGGCCUCAGUGGCUGGAGGGAAAUAAAAAAAAGCUCAAGAUGGCGGAAAAUUUAAAAGCCUGUUCUGUGUAUUGCAAGUCUUCUUGGUCCCAGCUUCAAGAUCUGUGCCGUUUGGAGAAGGUGUGCUGCCCUGCCUUGGGUAUUACCAGAAAAAAUCUCUGUGAUUUUGAAGUGGAAUAUCUUUGUGACUACAAGAAAGUCCGGGAUGAAGAAUACUACCUGGUGAAGUGGCGGGGUUACCCUGAUUCAGAGAAUACCUGGGAGCCCAGAAAGAAUCUGCGCUGUAUCAGUAUACUCAAACAGUUCCACCGGGAUCUAGAGCAGGCAUUAAUCCGGCGAGGAUGCAAGCUCAGAAAGAAUAUGCGUGUGCUUGACCAAGGCAUCUCCAACUACCUAGUACAGAAGGCAAAACAGCGGCGAGCUUUGCAGCAUUGGGAGUAUGAGCUCAAUGCUAAGCGCAACCACAAGGGAUGCAUUGUGGUAGAAAAUGAGGUGGACUUGGAUGGGCCUCCCCGGGACUUUGUCUACAUUAAUGAGUACAAGGUUGGGGAGGGCAUCACUCUCAAUCAGGUGGCUGUGGGCUGUGAGUGCUCAGACUGUCUGUCAGAAGCUGUGGGUGGUUGCUGCCCUGGUGCCUCACACCAUAAAUUUGCCUAUAAUGAGCUGGGCCAAGUGAAGAUCAAGGCUGGCAUGCCCAUCUAUGAGUGCAAUUCUCGCUGCAGCUGUGGGAUUGACUGCCCCAACCGUGUGGUGCAGAAAGGCAUUCGUUACGACCUUUGCAUUUUCCGGACAGAUAAUGGGCGUGGCUGGGGUGUGCGCACACUGGAGAAGAUCCGCAAGAACAGCUUUGUCAUGGAAUAUGUGGGAGAGAUCAUCACAUCAGAGGAAGCUGAACGACGGGGUCAGAUCUAUGACCGACAGGGUGCUACUUACCUCUUUGACUUGGACUAUGUUGAGGAUGUAUACACAGUAGAUGCUGCGUACUAUGGCAACAUUUCACAUUUUGUGAACCACAGUUGUAACCCCAACCUACAGGUAUACAAUGUAUUCAUUGAAAAUUUGGAUGAGCGGCUGCCACGCAUUGCCUUCUUUGCUACUCGACCUAUCCGUGUUGGUGAGGAACUCACUUUUGACUACAACAUGCAAGUGGAUCCAGUAAAUGCAGAAAGCACAAAGAUGGACUCUAAUUUUGGCCUAGUGGGAGGUCUGACUGGCUCACCGAAGAAGCGGAUGCGAAUUGAGUGUAAAUGUGGCACAGAGUCCUGCCGGAAAUACCUCUUCUAAUUCCUUGCCAGUUUUGCUUGGAAGAUACCUGGUCAAGCUUGAAUUGGAAACCAAGGACAAGCUGGCAAUUGCUGAAAGAUUGCAGAUGGAGGAAUUGGACAACACAGAAUUUCAGCUACCGCCACCAACUCUUGGAAGGUAGAUGCACAGGAAGACUUCAUUUCUCAAGGCUAUCACUUUUUAAAACCAGAUCUGUGUUUGUACUAGUUGCAUGAGAUGCAGAAGUUCAGGUUUUGGAGAGUAAAUGAGAGAGACAUCUAUUGAAUUCUUGCCUGCCAUGCAACUACUAAAAGCAGAGGACCAGAGCCAGGAAAAAAUACAGCAUCAUUAUCAGGCAACAUACUAAGUAUCUGCCUGAACGUGAAAACAUUUGGCUGCUCUAAACUAAAAGGAAAGCAAGAUUAAUAGUGUGGAAAGCCUUUUUUUCAGCCAUAAGUACUGAGAAAACAACAAAGCGAGCAACUACACUUGCUAUUAUGUCUUAAAGUGUUUUUACAAGGAUGUAGGCCAUAAACCAGGGCCAUCCGUAUCCUAAAGCAGCUACCUCUGGUAGCAGAUGCUGGUAGGUAGGAAACAGCAUAAGAUAUUGGAGGAUAGUAGGGUUAUGCCAGAUGGCCUUGCUUUGUGUCCCCUAAGCCAGCCAGCUAUCCUUGGGUGUGUUGAAAGAUACUGUCUUUCUGCUAGUACUGAAGUAAGAUUUAACUGCCAAACUGCUCAACUUCAGCACAUGGAAUGGGAAAGGGACACCAUCUUGUCCCUUGCCUCAGACAACAUGUCUUAGGUCAGUAUUGCCAUAAAGUGUUUUCUGUAAUACAAAGGACAUAGCAAUAUUAAACCCAUUUUGCAUUUGCUUCAUGCUGAGUAGAAAUGAAAAACUUAAUUCCAUCUUCACAUUUAAUGUGCUAGUUUGUUUUUAAUUCUAUACAGGAUACUAUGUCUCAGAGCUUAUUUUUGCCCUGUUUGGUUCAUUUCUUUGCCAUUUUUGCGAACUUGAACUCAUUUGACUGAUAGCCACAUGCUGGUCUUGUCUCUCAAGCUCUACCUAGGGCUGCAGUAGUCAUAAGUACUCUUAUCUGUUGUACCCAACUUCAGAGAAGAUUGUGAACUUUGGUUUUAUAUCUGUAGGGUGGCUACAUUUGGAAUACAGUAUACAGUGCUGACUGUCACUUCUCAAAAAGGCUAGGGUAGAGCUGAAGAUGGUGUAGAAAAGAGCAACCAAGAUUAUCAGGGAAAUGGCACACUUCAUACUGAGGAAAGACUACAAUUUAGGAGUUCUCAAAACUGCUGCAGGGAAAAUAUGACUAAAGCUUAUAGAAUUAUGCAUGAACUUAGAGGAACAUGGAGAAAGAUAAUGUUUCUCCUCAGUGUUAAAAUUCAAAGUUAUCCAAUUAAACUGAGAUUCAGGACACAAAAGGAAAUAUUAUUGAGAGCAAAUUAACGUAAGGAAUUCAUUGCCACAAGAUGUGGUGUCAACUACUAGGUUAAAAGGCAAAUAGGGAUUAUCCAAAUGAAUAGAGGACAAAGCUAUUGGUUUUGAUGGCUAUAUUCUACCUUCAUGUUCAGAGAAACUGUCUUUGAAUCCACUGUUGCUCCCCAGCAACUGGUGAGACAGUUUUUUGUCCUCAUGUCUUCCCUUCCAGGCUUCCAACAGGCAUCUGGUUGGCACUGUGAAAACAGGAUGCUGAAUGAGAUAGUUCUUUGAUCUCACUGGAAUGGACUCUUAAUACAAAUAUGUAUGGGUCACUUGUAUGGGCCAAAUAUUUUAUAACAGUUAUAUACUAUUCAAGCAGUACUCCAGAGCUUUCACUAAAAAAGCAGUGAUGUCUGUCAAAGACAUCCAUUUAUUUUUGUUAAUUAGGGCUAAGGCAAGUUGCAGUUAGAAUUCAUCAGGAAUGCAGCUAUAUUAUUUGUUAGAAGCACAUCCAGAGUGUGUGACCUUUCCUUAAAUAUAUGCGUGAUCAUGGGAGGCUUCUGCUCAAAGUUUCUGUGAUACACUGAAUCCAAAUCAAUCAUCUAUCUAAUGUAUAUAUGGAGCUGGAAUGACUGCAUUACAUUUUGCAAGCAUUAUUCAGCCACUGUUAACACACAUUAUCUUAAUCCUCUCUCAUCUAUACACUUACAGAUCUCUUAACCCUUCAUUAGGCUGUUUAGUUUGUUUGCUGCAAAGAUGUUGCUUGCUUGCACUUCCAUCAAUGUAGUUCUUCAUCGUGGCCUCUGUGCAUCACACAUAUGGGUGCUGUGCCUGUGCAGUGCCUUUGGCCGGAAGAUUGAUAGCUAACGGUUUUUGGUGGGAAAAAGCUGCACGCCCUCUCUAGCCUAUAAAGAGCAGAGCAUCCACCAUUUUGUUCAGUCUUUGCGACUGCCGUUCGCUGUGCCUCAUGCCGCUUUCGCUAUCGCUCUUACCGUUGCUCGUCUUGUUUGUUCUCGAUUGUUCUUCUUUCCCAGUUAUUAUAGCCCUGUUAGUAUUAGUAGUUCUUGUUGAAAUUCUUGUUCCUCUUGAUAGUUCUGUUUUUUCGUUCUAACUCUUUCGAUCUUCUAUAAAAAAAAAACAAAAAACCAAAAAUAGAUUCUUACCCUCUGCACUAUCUUCUCCUUUUUUCCUUUUCUUACGAUGGCGCAGCGAGUGGCUUUCCGCAAGUGCAGGUCUAAGAUGUCUCCUGCAGACCUGCAUGACCUAUGCCUCCUCUGUCUGGGGAAAGGGCAUAGGACCAAUAAGUGUUCUCACUGCCUGGCCUUCUCUAAGCAGGCCAGGAAAAAUCGCGAGAACCGCCUACGAAGGCUUUUGUGGGAUCAGGCUCUUCUGCAGUCUGACCCACUAGUCACCACUCCAAGCCUGGCUCUUCCACUGCUCCUCCGCCUCCACGCCCUUCGGCUCUACCCUCUUGCCCUUCGGACGAAGGCGUGUCUACCAUGGGCGCUCGGCCCGCUUCUCCGAAGAAGCAUGAGAAACACAAGCAUGCCAAUACCGACAAAUCGGCAGGCCACGAGAAGACCAGGAAGGAGAAGGCUCCGAAGCCACCGAAGAAAUCUAAGGAUCCAGAGCGUCCCAGGCAUCGUGACUCGGGUUCGACGGCCCCCUCAGUACUGAUGGUAGUCACCGUACCAACUCCACCUGACCCCGCCCUUCAGGUGGCUAUGAGGGUUACCCCUCAAGGGUCCCCUCACCGUGUGGCUGACCUUCUGGCAGAGCCUCUCCCAACUCUACCACGGGAGUCGAUUUCUGAGGGGGUGAUUCAAGAUUCUCCCCCUAGGGCUAGGUCUCCCACACCUAUGCCCGCAGCCACAUUGGAAGCAGAUGUUGAAAUGUCCCCGCCUAAGAGCCGGAGGAGCCGCUCCAUGGAACACCGUUCCGAAGGAUGGUACCGUCCCUACUACCAAUCCUGGGGCGAUCUGCAUUCCGUCUGAUACUACCCUGGUCCCAGGGGUCGAUCUUCACCACCUCCUCACGACCGUCCGCUGUCCUCGGGCCCAAGGCAUGUGUCCCCGAUACCUCCUCGGGAUGAGAGUAGCCGGUCCUUCUCUGCGGCUGAGUCCUCUUCAUUGGCUCCCUCGUACUAUGGUGCUGCUUCCGAUGAUUUGGAGGCUGAUUCUACCUCCCCAGACAUCGCUGGGACCUCCCAGGGCCCUGCGUCACCGGACGAAUCGCACGUCUCCUUCGUGGAGUUGAUGUCCCGCCUUGUCCAGUCCCUUGAGAUCGAUGCCAUCCAAUGUCCGGGACCGAGUACGGACAAAUUUUAUGACGUCAUCCGCAGGGAACAAUCUACAUCGAUUGUCCUGCUGCUGAUCACCACCUUGCAACAGGCGAUGAUGCAACCCUGGGACUUGCCCGCUCACCCUCAACCGACUUCGUGGAGGUACAAAUCCAUGUACCAGGUUCGGAAGAGGACAUACUCUUCCUCCUCCACCACCCCAAACCGAACUCGGUGGUGGUGGAGUCCUCCCAGGGCAGAGAGGCAAGAGGUCGCACCGCACCAAAGGACAAGGAGGGACGGAAGAUUGACUCCCCGGCCAGGCAAGUGUACGCUGCCUCUGGCCUAGGGCUGAGAAUUUCCAAUUACGAGGCAACGCUUGCGAGGUAUCAAUAUUUCAUUAUGCAGUGCAUCCAUAACAUCGUCUCAGCCCUCCCGGACCACCAGGGUGACCUGGCUAAGGUCUUCGUCAAGGAGGUGAUGCAAGUCGCCGUCCAGCAGUUGUCCACUGCCCGA
This is an RNA transcript of Varanus komodoensis (Komodo dragon), 5521 nucleotides long. It is a transcript of the gene named SUV39H1 histone lysine methyltransferase, with no coding region annotated. NCBI's taxonomy places the organism in Eukaryota, Metazoa, Chordata, Lepidosauria, Squamata, Varanidae. The record is from RefSeq and is a predicted model, not a curated record. The transcript is spliced from 7 exons.